Molecule: ribosomal RNA, 592 nt
Filed under: uncultured fungus
Lineage: Eukaryota; Fungi
Description: eukaryotic LSU rRNA
Rfam family: Eukaryotic large subunit ribosomal RNA
Source: RNAcentral
GGCUAAGUCUUUUGGAAAAAAGUACCACAGAGGGUGAAAGUCCCGUCUGGGCUCAAAGACAAUUACCGUCGGAGCAUUUUCUUAGAGUCGCGUUCCUUGAGAUUGGAGCGCUAAUUAGGUGAUAAAUUUCAUCUAAAGCUAAAUAUUAACGAGAUUCCGAUAGCAUACAAGUACCGUGAGGGAAAGAUGAAAAGAACUUUGAAAAGAGAGUUAAAAGUGACUGAAAUCGCUAUAAGUGAAGCGGAGUGUUUGGGUGUCUAACAGUUCUUCCUGGUUGGUUUGCUGACCAUGGAAGUGCUUGUGGUGACUUUGGGAUAGAUUAUAGUUGGUGAAUACAGGUUAAAGAAACUAUAGCUUGCUAUUGUUUCUUGAUCCUGAAUUUCAUUAACUUAGAUCUAGCUUUCUAAUAUUAGUAUAACUAAUAUUAUAAAAUCUCAAAGAAAUCCUUUCUCUCCGUCCCGUCUUGAAACACGGACCAAGGAGUCUAAUUUAUGUGCAAGUACAAGGGUGGAAAACCCACGUGCGAAACGAAAAUAAUUGUUAGGAAGGGUAACCUGCACUAACACCCAUCUUUCCAGAUGAGGUUGAGCAC